Molecule: ribosomal RNA, 253 nt
Filed under: uncultured bacterium
Lineage: Bacteria
Description: partial 16S ribosomal RNA
Rfam family: Bacterial small subunit ribosomal RNA
Source: RNAcentral
UACGUAGGUGGCAAGCGUUGUCCGGAUUUACUGGGCGUAAAGAGCGCGCAGGCGGUCGUUCAAGUCGCGUGUGAAAGCCCCCGGCUCAACUGGGGAGGGUCACGCGAUACUGAUCGACUCGAAGGCAGGAGAGGGUAGUGGAAUUCCCGGUGUAGUGGUGAAAUGCGUAGACAUCGGGAGGAACACCAGUGGCGAAGGCGACUACCUGGCCUGUUCUUGACGCUGAGGCGCGAAAGCUAGGGGAGCAAACGGG